GGGGCCAUAGUUCAAUUGGUAGAACACCUGCUUUGCAUGUAGGAAAUUAGGAGUUCAAAUCUCCUUGGCUCCA
RNAcentral lists this transfer RNA (73 nucleotides) under Candidatus Portiera aleyrodidarum (primary endosymbiont of Bemisia tabaci). RNAcentral's name for it is "tRNA-Ala (TGC) (tRNA-Ala-TGC-1-1)". It matches the Rfam family "tRNA". From Rfam's summary of the family: Transfer RNA (tRNA) molecules are approximately 80 nucleotides in length. Their secondary structure includes four short double-helical elements and three loops (D, anti-codon, and T loops). Further hydrogen bonds mediate the characteristic L-shaped molecular structure. tRNAs have two regions of fundamental functional importance: the anti-codon, which is responsible for specific mRNA codon recognition, and the 3' end, to which the tRNAs corresponding amino acid is attached (by aminoacyl-tRNA synthetases). tRNAs cope with the degeneracy of the genetic code in two manners: having more than one tRNA (with a specific anti-codon) for a particular amino acid; and 'wobble' base-pairing, i.e. permitting non-standard base-pairing at the 3rd anti-codon position. RNAcentral also lists the same sequence under 1 other name. Lineage: Bacteria; Pseudomonadati; Pseudomonadota; Gammaproteobacteria; Johnevansiales (SeqCode); Johnevansiaceae (SeqCode). The record is from RNAcentral.